RNAcentral lists this ribosomal RNA (292 nucleotides) under uncultured bacterium. Its description in RNAcentral is "partial 16S ribosomal RNA". The record is from RNAcentral.
GGACUACUGGGGUAUCUAAUCCCGUUCGCUCCCCUGGCUUUCGCACCUCAGCGUCAGGCGCCAGCCAGGACCCUGCCUUCGCCAUCGGUGUUCCUCCGGAUCUCUACGCAUUUCACCGCUCCACCCGGAAUUCCAGGUCCCUCUCUGGCCCUCCAGUCGCGCAGUCUGUGCGACCCUUGGGCAGUUAAGCCGCCCACUGUCCCCGCACUCUUACGCGACCGCCUGCGUGCCCUUUACGCCCAGUAACUCCGGACAACGCUCGCCCCCUACGUAUUACCGCGGCUGCUGGCAC